GGAUUCUCUGGCUGCAGCCCAUGAAAACUACAUUCGCAAAUUCACUGUUCAGUAUGAACAUGGAACCGCCUGGGCUAAAUUUGUUUUAGCUAUUUGCAUAGUAUAGAUUUGAGAAGGCCGGAAGAAGUUUUUUAGAUGUCGUUCAAACUCUGUUUUAGCUAUUUUGAUGCUGUUUGAUGAGAAUGGGGCCAGAAGUAGGGUUGUGAAGCUCAAGGAUACAGUUUUUCAAUCCUUCUAAUAGCUUUGCUUUUUAGCAUAAACUUUUUGAGUAAUGUUGCCUUUGCGUCUUUUGAUUAAUAGCUUAUUUCAGUCUUAGAAAGGCUAUUCAAUGUAGUUAGGUUGUUGCAGACAAAUACUGAAAACUACUAAAUGAAAACCAGAAAACGUUAUAACCAUAAAAUUCUUAAUAUGCCUAUGCGAUGUUGCUCAUCAGAAAUAAAAGAGAAAAAAAAAAAGGAAAAGAAGAAGAAAUUAGAGUUGAAUUGCCUAGAAUUAUAAGGUUAUUUCGUUGGUUAAUUCUUCUGUAACUAAUGGGUGUUGAUGCUCAUGUAGUUGCAGAGCUGGAGCCAAUUUGAUCGACAAAAAAAUUAAAUUCAUUAAUGUUCAGUACUUAACUAAAAUGCUUGAAGAUAUUAGGUUGAGUGAUUGAUUGUUGUGUUGAAAUGCAUCAGCUUGUUGAUAGGAUUACUUAAUUACAUUCAUCAAUAUAGUGGCUCUUGCUAUUGCAAUGAAUUGUUG
This 738-nucleotide unclassified non-coding RNA is filed under the name Hevea brasiliensis (rubber tree). The record is from RNAcentral. Lineage: Eukaryota; Viridiplantae; Streptophyta; Magnoliopsida; Malpighiales; Euphorbiaceae.